RNAcentral lists this transfer RNA (88 nucleotides) under Rickettsiales bacterium. RNAcentral describes it as "tRNA-Tyr". It matches the Rfam family "tRNA". Rfam says of the family: Transfer RNA (tRNA) molecules are approximately 80 nucleotides in length. Their secondary structure includes four short double-helical elements and three loops (D, anti-codon, and T loops). Lineage: Bacteria; Pseudomonadati; Pseudomonadota; Alphaproteobacteria; Rickettsiales. The record is from RNAcentral.
GGAGAGGUGCUCAGAAUUGGUAAUGAAAUUCGCUGUAAACGAAUCCCGCGCUUUGCGCGGAUUACAGGUUCGAGUCCUGUCCUCUCCA